GUAAGGAAUAUUGGUCAAUGGACGCAAGUCUGAACCAGCCAUGCCGCGUGCAGGAAGACGGCCCUACGGGUUGUAAACUGCUUUUGUACCGGAAUAAACCUUUUCACGUGUGAGAAGCUGAAUGUACGGUAAGAAUAAGGAUCGGCUAACUCCGUGCCAGCAGCCGCGGUAAUACGGAGGAUCCAAGCGUUAUCCGGAUUUAUUGGGUUUAAAGGGUGCGUAGGUGGCCUGGUAAGUCAGGGGUGAAAGACGGCAGCUUAACUGUCGCAGUGCCUUUGAUACUGCCGGGCUUGAAUACAGUUGAAGUGGGCGGAAUGUGACAAGUAGCGGUGAAAUGCAUAGAUAUGUCACAGAACACCGAUCGCGAAGGCAGCUCACUAAAGUGUGAUUGACACUGAGGCACGAAAGCGUGGGGAUCAAACAGGAUUAGAUACCCUUGUAGUCC
This 445-nucleotide ribosomal RNA is filed under the name uncultured bacterium. Its description in RNAcentral is "bacterial SSU rRNA". It matches the Rfam family "Bacterial small subunit ribosomal RNA", at positions 354 to 796 of the family's 1533-position model. The record is from RNAcentral.